Molecule: ribosomal RNA, 385 nt
Filed under: uncultured microorganism
Description: bacterial SSU rRNA
Rfam family: Archaeal small subunit ribosomal RNA
Source: RNAcentral
GCGCACCAGUCGCGAAAACUUUACAAUGUGCGAAAGCACGAUAAGGGAACUCUGAGUGCCUCCUAAGGAGGCUGUUCAGGUGUCUAAAAAGCACCUGAAGGAAGGGCUGGGUAAGACCGGUGCCAGCCGCCGCGGUAACACCGGCAGCCCAAGUGGUAGCCACGUUUAUUGGGUCUAAAGCGUCCGUAGCCGGCUGGGUAAGUUCCUUGGGAAAUUUGGCUGCUUAAACAGUCAAGCUUUCAGGGAAUACCGCUCGGCUUGGGACCGGGAGACGGUCAGAGGUACUCCAGGGGUAGGGGUGAAAUCCAUUAAUCCUUGGGGGACCACCGGUAGCGAAGGCGUCUGACCAGACCGGGUCCGACGGUGAGGGACGAAGGCUAGGGGC